ACGAAGUUAAUUAAUAUAAUUAUAUCCCAAAGUGGGUAAUUUUGGUUCGGUUUUCAAAAGAAAAACCAAGAGAAAAAUCACUAAAUCCCACAAAAAGCCCGCAUUUUUCUUUGAGUUUUCGAAAAUUUAACAACUACCCAUUUGUUUUUGGCCAAUUGGGUACUCAUUUCUCGCCCGAUCCAGAUUACUUUCUCCAACCACUGGUUCAGGGGUCUUCGGUUUUGGAGUUUUAAAGAAGAGUGCUUUCAAUUUGAGUAAUUUGUCUUUUUGGCAAUGAGUUAGCUUUCGUGGAAUUUAUAAUGGAAAUGGUGGCUGAAGAUGAUGAGAAUUGGCCUUUUUGAUAGAUGAGGGAGGUCGUUGAGAAAACACUAGGAAAUGAGUCGAUCUCCUUCGUUUUCUGUGAAGCCGGAGCUUAGUGUGAAACCUGACCCGGAUUCUUUGCAACGAUGGGUUGUUGCCUUUUGCAUCAUUAGAUUUGAUCUCGAACAAGGUCAGCUAAUAGAAGAGUGUUAUCCACCUGGUUGUCUCACUCAAGAAGAGGAACUUGAGGUUGCUUUUAGUUCCUUUCCGGAUUCUGUUUCUCAGCACCAGAACCGCUCCAGCAUUCAUGAUUGCAUCUUCUUUUUCCGGUUUCGGAGGCAUAAAAAUACAAAGCAGGGUAAUGUGACUUCGUCGGAAAUAACAGAAAUUGAUGAUAAAGAUACAACAUCAACACCUAAAGAGGAGAAAGUGAUUAGGAGGUUGAGAAGUAGUGGUAAAGGUUCAAGACACUUGUAUGGUUAUGUGUUUAAUAGACAAAGGCAUGAUGAGAGGCUAAAACGAGGUGGGGAACAAAAAUCUGUAGUAAUAUUGUCUCAUGGACCUUACUCUAGCGUGUUUAGACCUUUGUUACAAAUCAUGGGUCCUCUUUACUUUGAUAUAGGAAAAAAAGCUAUUGAGCAUAUUGCUGGUUAUGUUUCCUUGUGGCCUACUCCUGUACCUGGUAAGCUAAUGGAGCUUCCAAUUGGGAAUGCAAUGCUCAAAGUUAACUUGCCACCUGCCCACAGCUUGCCUUUGGAAAGUGGAAUAGCAUAUGAAGAGUCUGCUUCAUCUAUGGCUCCUUUUCUUCCUAAUAAUCAAUCAGUCCCACAAGGUCUAUUUCACGAUUCCGAUCUUUUCGGAACAUUCAAAGGGCUUUUGUUACAACUUUGGUUAUUGUGGGAGUUGUUACUUAUUGGUGAGCCGAUUCUUGUCAUAGCACCAACACCACCACAGUGCUGUGAGGCUGUGGCCAGUCUCGUCAGCUUAGUUGCACCUUUACUUUACAGUGUUGACUUUAGGCCGUAUUUUACUAUCCAUGAUCCUGAAUUUGCUCAGCUGAACUCUCUUCAAGAAGGGGACAAAUAUCCGCCUAUGGUUUUGGGUGUCACAAAUCUUUUUUUCCUCAAAGCUCUUCGUAAUAUCCCCCACAUAGUAUCAGUUGGAAGCCCUGCACCUAAUUCAAGUCGGGUUGCCCUUGCAAGUAGGUCCAGUGGCAGAAUUCCUGGUAAACCAGAAGGAUUUGGUCUUCAACAGCUUUCCUUGAAGAAGUUCUCUCCUUCUAAUUUGUUGAAUGCUGUGAAGCUGAGGAGAGAUGGUCCUCUUUGUCUCAUGACAGAACAUAAGGAGGCUAUUUGGAGCACUUAUGCUGCAACUACAAAGCCAGACACUUCUAUCUUGAAUAGGCUUAUUGAUGCUGGGAUGUCACCAAGGGUUGAGGAAUCUAUGUCUGUUGUUAAUAAUGAGAUCUUACGUCGACAUUUCUUGGAGCUCACUACCAACUUCUUGGCUCCUUUUGGACCAUAUUUUAGGGCUACCACUCCUCCUGAAGGAUCUUCACCUUUUGCUGAUCCCCCUCCUCUACCUCCAUUUAAUGCUGAUGAAUUCCUUAUGAGCUUGUCAGCAAGGGGUGUGGGCAAGUUUCUUUCGAAGCGUAUGAGAUCUAACUGGCUGGAUCUGUAUAGGCGUUUUCUUAAAGGGCCUAACUUUCUGCCAUGGUUUCAAAGACGACAUGCUGUUGCUGAAAAUGAACAACAUAGAUUAUGGAGGCAGGCAAGAAUGAAGACUGACAUACAUCACCUGAUAUCUAAAAUGCCUGAAUUGGAAGUUGUUGACUGCUUCAAUGCUAUUGAGAGACAUCUUCUUGGAGAAAUACAGUUACAGCAAUCUGGAAGGGCUGUAGCAGACUCUGCAGCAAUGUGCCAGAAACUGAAGGGUGAUCUACAGACUGUGUUCAAUUUACUUCCAAAGGAUAUGCAGCAGCUUCUGCUUUUGAACCCACAGAGGGCAGCUCUUCUACAGGGAAAUUCAAGUCCAGAAUUGACAAAACUUCCUGGCCGCCCUUCAAUACAAGUUGGGGUUAUAUCCUCCAAUUCACCAAGAUAACACAAAGCAUGGCGGAAUCGGGUUGGCUCUGGUAAUGAGUAUUGAGGGUAUUAACUUGCUUCUAGAGAAAGGCAUGACCUUUGAUUUUCUUGUAGCUUCCUCUGCUUGGUGGGAUGGAGAAUCCCCCAACAUUUGGCAUAAUUGUUCAUAUAGAUGUGUGAGAAUCAGAACCUGUCUUGAAUCCACCCAGUUCUUCAGCAAUCUGAGAUAAUUUAUUUGCACAAUCUAGAAACAAAUUAGAAAAAAAAAAUUUAUGGAUAUUGCUAUGUUGUCUUUCUAAUGGGAAGUUGAAGAUUCAUGUUGCUUUCAUUCAUAAGGAACCAUGCGUAAGCUACUGUAUCCGUCGGCAGGUCACUAAGACUUGAACUCCCAUCUCAGCAUUUCUUUUUUCAAUCUUUAUGGUUGCACUUUCUUGUUUUUGGUCAAGAGGUAUGAGCUUUCUUCAGUUUCUUUAUUUCUUCUGUUUAUGAUCAUUGAUUUGAAAGACCUCUAUUCAAUAUGAUCAGAACAUAUAGAGUUUCAAAAAGCUACUGAUACAUUUGUGGCAAAAUUCCUGGAAGAAUUGUGUGACCCUGUGUUUUAUUCUGUUAUAUAUGAUCCCAUCAAUGGGUUUCUUAUUUA
Molecule: non-coding RNA, 3024 nt
Organism: Theobroma cacao (cacao)
Lineage: Eukaryota; Viridiplantae; Streptophyta; Magnoliopsida; Malvales; Malvaceae
Source: RefSeq, a predicted model, not a curated record